GAUGAACGCUGGCGGCGUGCCUAAUACAUGCAAGUCGAGCGAACAGAUAAGGAGCUUGCUCCUUUGAAGUUAGCGGCGGACGGGUGAGUAACACGUGGGUAACCUACCUAUAAGACUGGGAUAACUUCGGGAAACCGGAGCUAAUACCGGAUAACAUUUAGAACCGCAUGGUUCUAAAGUGAAAGAUGGUUUUGCUAUCACUUAUAGAUGGACCCGCGCCGUAUUAGCUAGUUGGUAAGGUAACGGCUUACCAAGGCGACUAUACGUAGCCGACCUGAGAGGGUGAUCGGCCACACUGGAACUGAGACACGGUCCAGACUCCUACGGGAGGCAGCAGUAGGGAAUCUUCCGCAAUGGGCGAAAGCCUGACGGAGCAACGCCGCGUGAGUGAUGAAGGGUUUCGGCUCGUAAAACUCUGUUAUUAGGGAAGAACAAAUGUGUAAGUAACUGUGCACAUCUUGACGGUACCUAAUCAGAAAGCCACGGCUAACUACGUG
Molecule: ribosomal RNA, 497 nt
Filed under: uncultured bacterium
Lineage: Bacteria
Description: partial 16S ribosomal RNA
Rfam family: Bacterial small subunit ribosomal RNA
Source: RNAcentral